RNAcentral lists this ribosomal RNA (253 nucleotides) under uncultured bacterium. RNAcentral's name for it is "partial 16S ribosomal RNA". It matches the Rfam family "Bacterial small subunit ribosomal RNA", at positions 524 to 776 of the family's 1533-position model. The record is from RNAcentral.
UACGUAGGGGGCAAGCGUUGUCCGGAUUUAUUGGGCGUAAAGAGCGUGUAGGCGGCCGUACAGGUCAGCUGUGAAAACUCGAGGCUCAACCUCGAGACGUCGGUUGAAACCGUACGGCCAGAGUCCGGAAGAGGAGAGUGGAAUUCCCGGUGUAGCGGUGAAAUGCGCAGAUAUCGGGAAGAACACCCGUGGCGAAGGCGGCUCUCUGGGACGGUACUGACGCUGAGACGCGAAAGCGUGGGGAGCGAACAGG